AUUCAGAUGACGAGUCCCAAGUAGGAAGAAACGCGCGUCCUGGAU
This 45-nucleotide non-coding RNA is filed under the name Schistosoma margrebowiei. Lineage: Eukaryota; Metazoa; Platyhelminthes; Trematoda; Strigeidida; Schistosomatidae. The record is from RNAcentral.